CGGACGGGUGGAGUAACGCGGUGGGGAACCGUCGCCCUCGGUACCGGGGGAGUAGCAGCCGGAAACGGCUGAUAAUACCGCAUAAGCGCACGAAUGUCGCAUGACAUGGUGUGAAAAACUCCGGUGGUAUAGGAUGGACCCGCGUCUGAUUAGCCGGUUGGUGGGGUAAAAGCCUACCAAAGCGAAGAUCAGUAGCCGAGUUGAGAGACUGACCGGCCACAUUGGAACUGAGACACGGCCCAGACUCCUACGGGAGGCAGCAGUC
This 265-nucleotide ribosomal RNA is filed under the name uncultured bacterium. RNAcentral's name for it is "partial 16S ribosomal RNA". It matches the Rfam family "Bacterial small subunit ribosomal RNA", at positions 99 to 355 of the family's 1533-position model. The record is from RNAcentral.